This 253-nucleotide ribosomal RNA is filed under the name uncultured bacterium. RNAcentral describes it as "partial 16S ribosomal RNA". It matches the Rfam family "Bacterial small subunit ribosomal RNA", at positions 524 to 776 of the family's 1533-position model. The record is from RNAcentral.
UACGGGGGGGGCAAGCGUUGUUCGGAAUUACUGGGCGUAAAGGGCUUGUAGGUGGCCAACUAAGUCAGACGUGAAAUCCCUCAGCUUAACUGGGGAACUGCGUCUGAUACUGGAUGGCUUGAGAUUGGGAGAGGGACGCGGAAUUCCAGGUGUAGCGGUGAAAUGCGUAGAUAUGCGGAGGAACACCGAUGGCGAAGGCAAUCCCCUGGGCCUGCACUGACGCUCAUGCACGAAAGCGUGGGGAGCAAACAGG